GCCAAAUUAGCUUAGUGGUUAAGCAGCUGACUCGUAAUCAGCCGUCACGAGUUCGAUUCUCGUAUUUGGCACCA
This 74-nucleotide transfer RNA is filed under the name Mycoplasma sp. Mirounga ES2805-ORL. RNAcentral's name for it is "tRNA-Thr". It matches the Rfam family "tRNA". Rfam says of the family: Transfer RNA (tRNA) molecules are approximately 80 nucleotides in length. Their secondary structure includes four short double-helical elements and three loops (D, anti-codon, and T loops). Lineage: Bacteria; Bacillati; Mycoplasmatota; Mollicutes; Mycoplasmatales; Mycoplasmataceae. The record is from RNAcentral.